RNAcentral lists this ribosomal RNA (550 nucleotides) under uncultured bacterium. RNAcentral's name for it is "bacterial SSU rRNA". It matches the Rfam family "Bacterial small subunit ribosomal RNA", at positions 355 to 896 of the family's 1533-position model. The record is from RNAcentral.
UGGGGAAUAUUGGACAAUGGGCGCAAGCCUGAUCCAGCCAUGCCGCGUGGGUGAAGAAGGCCUUCGGGUUGUAAAGCCCUUUUGUUGGGAAAGAAAAGCAGUCGGUUAAUACCCGAUUGUUCUGACGGUACCCAAAGAAUAAGCACCGGCUAACUUCGUGCCAGCAGCCGCGGUAAUACGAAGGGUGCAAGCGUUACUCGGAAUUACUGGGCGUAAAGCGUGCGUAGGUGGUGGUUUAAGUCUGUUGUGAAAGCCCUGGGCUCAACCUGGGAAUUGCAGUGGAUACUGGGUCACUAGAGUGUGGUAGAGGGUAGCGGAAUUCCCAGUGUAGCAGUGAAAUGCGUAGAGAUCAGGAAGAACAUCCGUGGCGAAGGCGGCUACCUAGACCAACACUGACACUGAGGCACGAAAGCGUAGAAAGCAAACAAAAUUAGAUACCCUGGUAGUCCACGCCCUAAACGAUGCGAACUAGAUGUUAGGUGCAAUUUGGCACGCAGUAUCGAAGCUAACGCGUUAAGUUCGCCGCCUGGGGAGUACGGUCGCAAGACUG